UGAAUACGAGACGCUACGGCGUCGAAGCAGUCUAUGUCAUACUUCCAAGAAAAGCUCGCAAUGUCAUAAACAAAUAAUGCCUGCACCAUAACCGACACAGGUGGGUAGGUAGAGUAUACUAAGGGGCGCGAGAUAACUCUCUCUAAGGAACUCGGCAAAAUAACUCCGUAACUUCGGGAGAAGGAGUGCCUUAUUUAUAAGGUUGCAAUAACAAGAUCCAAGCAACUGUUUAUCAAAAACACAGGUCUCCGCUAAGUCGUAAGACGAUGUAUGGGGGCUGACGCCUGCCCAGUGCCAGAAGGUUAAAGAAGUUGGUUAGCAUUCGCGAAGCUGAUAACUGAAGCCCUGGUGAACGGCGGCCGUAACUAUAACGGUCCUAAGGUAGCGAAAUUCCUUGUCGGGUAAGUUCCGACCCGCACGAAAGGCGUAAUGAUUUGGAUACUGUCUCGGAGAGGGGCUCGGUGAAAUAGACUUGUCUGUGAAGAUGCGGACUACCUGCACCUGGACAGAAAGACCCUAUGAAGCUUUACUGUAACUUGAAAUUGAAAUUGGACUUAUUUGCGCAGCAUAGGUGGGAGGCGUUGAGAGUAUUCUUGCGGGAAUAUUGGAGCCAUCAGUGAGAUACCACUCUUGUAAUGUUAGAUUUCUAACUUUGGAUCAUUAUCUGGUCAAAGAACAGUUUCAGGCGGGCAGUUUGACUGGGGCGGUCGCCUCCCAAAUGGUAACGGAGGCGUACAAAGGUUUCCUCUGAACGGGUAGAAAUCGUAUCUAGAGUGUAAAGGCAUAAGGAAGCUUGACUGUGAGACCUACAAGUCGAGCAGGGACGAAAGUCGGUCUUAGUGAUCUGACGGUGCUGAGUGGAAAGGCCGUCACUCAACGGAUAAAAGUUACUCUAGGGAUAACAGGCUGAUCUCCCCCAAGAGUUCACAUCGACGGGGAGGUUUGGCACCUCGAUGUCGGCUCAUCGCAUCCUGGGGCGGUAGUACGUCCCAAGGGUUGGGCUGUUCGCCCAUGAAAGCGGUACGCGAGCUGGGUUCAGAACGUCGUGAGACAGUUCUGUCCAUAUCCGGUGUAGGCGUUAGAAUAUUGAGGGGAGCCUUCUUUAGUACGAGAGGACCGAGAAGGACAUACCUCUGGUGUACCAGUUAUCGUGCCAACGGUAAACGCUGGGUAGCUAUGUAUGGAGAGGAUAACCGCUGAAAGCAUCUAAGUGGGAAGCCCACCUCAAGAUAAGUAUUCUC
RNAcentral lists this ribosomal RNA (1241 nucleotides) under metagenome. RNAcentral's name for it is "bacterial LSU rRNA". It matches the Rfam family "Bacterial large subunit ribosomal RNA", at positions 1564 to 2815 of the family's 2925-position model. The record is from RNAcentral.